CUUCUUCAUCUUCGUCUUUUUUUCCCCUUUUGGCACAUGGCUUGCCUUUUUCUAUUCUCAUCGCCAAUCCUAUUUGAACAGUUAGUAGUCACUUCUCGUGAAUUGAAGCUUGUGGAAAUCUGUGACACCACGGGAGUAGUUUCUGUGGCAAUGCUGAAUUGGGGUUACUUUUAAUGAAUUAUCAUGUGAUCCUAACUGUCUGUUGUUUCUUAUAUGUUCGACAUGCCUUGUAAUCUAAUGAGGGUUGGGGAUAAAAAGCAAGUAUGCGGAAAAGAAAAGAUGUAGUUCGUUAGAAUAGGGCAUGUCUCCAGUACAAAGGUAAAAAAAGAAAACUGAGCCACAUGGAGGAACUAGGUGGUCCAAGGUCUAAUAUGAGUGAGAGGGAUAGGCUUGAAAGCAUGGUACUUGGGAUGAUUUCUGGGCUAUGAUACUUGGGUCCUUCAAGAGACUGGAGUAUUUGACUAGGCUACUUGGAUAUUCAGAUAAGGAUCUCCUUUUCCUUGGACUUGAGACUCGAGAUCCACCUGCAAUUUUGGACUGUAGACCAACUAAUUAUUGUGAACUCAAGAGUGAAUCUGGCUGAUUGAUCCACAACGCAACUUGUGGAUAUUGUUAGGAAAAUACUUUAACAGGAUUAUAUUACAAUAUAUAACCAAUAUUUGCAAUUUUCCAAAAUCCUUAAAUGAUUCUCUUGUGGGUACAGAAGAGCUCUUCUUGUCCGAUGCACUGCGAAAGAAAUAUGUGAUUUUCAGAAGUUCUACUAAGGCCCUGUUUGGUAUCAAGGAAUGAAAAUGUGGAUUUGGUAAAUCCAUGAACUUGUCAGAUUCAUGGUUUUGCAUCGGAUUUGGAUUUGGCAAAUUCCAAAGGCCACUGUUUGGAAAUCAAACUAGUAAACUCCACAUCCAUGGAUUUGUGGAGCAUUUAUUGCAAAGGAUUUUUUUUGUUGCUUUUAUAAGAGACUUUCAUUUUGGAGAGUUGCUGUCUUUAGUUUUUUUUUUUAGGGAGUGGGAUUUGCCCCUUAUCCAUGGAUUUAUGGAGGCGUGAAUUGGGAAAUCCAUGGAUUUGGCAAAUCCCCAACAAAAAUCAAAGAGGGGAGAUUUGAAAUCUGUGCAUUUCACAAAUCGACGCCCCAUAUACCUCACCUCAAACGGCCCCCAAGAGCAGAAAAUCCAAAAUCACAAACAUAUUUUUCUCCCUUCCUGAAGUUGCCACGAGCAAACUCAGCCUAAGAAUUUGGCUUUUCUGUGUCAUAUACUUCCUAUGCUUGAUAGAGGGUACUUGUAUUCAUAUUAGUUGGGAGUGGAGUACCCAGCUGGCCAGGUUCAUGAGACCCUGUCCUUUGGUCAACUGGCUACUGUCUAUGAGCUUGCACAGUAUGCAACUAGCUUAAAUAUGGAUGUUCAGUUACUUCAUCUGUGGUUGAAGUUAAUACUUUAUGUGGGUUGGGCAGGCCAACUAGCGUUUGUGAUGAUUUCACAUGCCCUUUUGCAGCAGUUUAUUAAUUCAUGGAUGUAUGUCAGCACCAGCAAUAGUUGCUUACGGGGAAGCUGAUAACUUGUAUCUAUUUGGAAUUCUUGAAACUAUUGCGAUCUUCAACUGACUUUUAAUCGGCCAAGGAUCUUUAGUAGAAUUUUUGGAAAGAACGUUGUCUGAAAUAAUUAAAGAGGUUUGUCCAACCUUUCUGAGAUUUUGGUGUUAACCAAAAGAAAACAGCUUAUCAUCCUGUGGGAUCUGAUGCUGGAACAGAUUAUGCCCUUCAUAUGGAGCUUCUGUUAUCAGGAGUUUAAAAAAUGUUAUUUGAUGGAAGAUGUUUGUUUCUAAAACGGUUGGUUGAUGUGGUAGCUUAUAUGUGCCAACUGUAGUCAAUCUGUCAAAGUCAUCUUAUAAGAUGUAGUAGGAUUAAGCGAGGUUGUACAGAACCUCCCUGUUCUAACCCCUAAAUCCAUAAAAAUUACAAACUACAACUAGAACCCACUUACCAAUUAGAAUUAGAACAGUUUUGUAUUAACUACCAUCAUGACAACUGAUUGAUUCUUAACUGGCCAUCGUUUUAGUACUACUGAGGUGCCCCACCUGAUGAGUGGAUAUGUUUCAAAAUAUUGGCGGUUAUCUUUCCGACGAAAAAAAAAAAAACAACAAACAAAAGAAAAAGACAA
Magnolia sinica is the source of this 2156-nucleotide long non-coding RNA. RefSeq lists it as uncharacterized. The record is from RefSeq and is a predicted model, not a curated record. The transcript is spliced from 2 exons. Lineage: Eukaryota; Viridiplantae; Streptophyta; Magnoliopsida; Magnoliales; Magnoliaceae.